AGGGCAGAGCGGACGGCACUUGGGACCCGCGACUCGCGGCACGCCACUCUCCCGGAGGCGGUGGCUAGAUGGGGCUGGGCUGGCGGCUAGCACGGCCUGUGGCGCGACGACCGCUGUAUUUGCAUGGUUCGCAUAGGCAGAGAACCGUGGGGCUUCGGCAGUGGGAAUUUGAGAUAGGAGAUUGGGGUCUUCCGAGCCUUCCCAGUGCGGGUUCGAACCUCAGCUGUUUUGCGAGUGGCGUGAUCUUAGGCAAAGCUGACUUAACCUAAGUUUCGGUCGUGUUUCUAAAAUGGCCUCUGUAAAUCUAUGAGGCUUAUGCGCGAGUACUGGUUGCUGCAUUAAAAGACAAACUUGUCACGAUUGGCUUUGAUAGCGAUAAAGGCGACUAACAAAUUCAUUGAAAUGUUGUUUCCCUCCGGUAACCUGAAUCUGUCCUUAGCCUGCACAGAAAGGGGAAGUGCGAGUGGAGUUGGGGAAAUGAGACGGCGAAUGUCAAGUGCUUACCACGUAGUGCAGACUCAGGCUGACAGGGGGCCACAGAAAUGCAAAUAUGUGAGCAGUGUGGGUAACUGCAUCCUGGGGAGGAAGUCCUAUGUGCUGGAAUACCACAAGCACCCAUUUCUGCCCUGUGGUACUGCGCAGCGUUGGUGUGAAGCGAUACAUAGGCGUGAAGUCCCGAGAACGCAAUUUUCCUGGUUAAAGGACAGCAACGUCUACAUUUCUUCCAAGAGGCCUACUUUGUUGGAACUUCACUUCACUUGUGAAAUUAGGGUGUUGGGCAGUGAGUGACCACUAACUCAGCUCCCUUCUUGUGAAUCUUGGCAACAGAAAACUUUUCGUUUGUAUUACUGAAUAAAGUGUGUUUCUUACAAA
Molecule: long non-coding RNA, 873 nt
Filed under: Homo sapiens (human)
Lineage: Eukaryota; Metazoa; Chordata; Mammalia; Primates; Hominidae
Description: novel transcript, antisense to EIF4ENIF1
Source: RNAcentral